Molecule: ribosomal RNA, 497 nt
Filed under: uncultured bacterium
Lineage: Bacteria
Description: partial 16S ribosomal RNA
Rfam family: Bacterial small subunit ribosomal RNA
Source: RNAcentral
GAUGAACGCUGGCGGCGUGCCUAAUACAUGCAAGUCGAGCGAACGGACGAGAAGCUUGCUUCUCUGAUGUUAGCGGCGGACGGGUGAGUAACACGUGGAUAACCUACCUAUAAGACUGGGAUAACUUCGGGAAACUGUAGCUAAUACCGGAUAAUAUUUUGAACCGCAUGGUUCAAAAGUGAAAGACGGUCUUGCUGUCACUUAUAGAUGGAUCCGCGCUGCAUUAGCUAGUUGGUAAGGUAACGGCUUACCAAGGCAACGAUGCAUAGCCGACCUGAGAGGGUGAUCGGCCACACUGGAACUGAGACACGGUCCAGACUCCUACGGGAGGCAGCAGUAGGGAAUCUUCCGCAAAGGGCGAAAGCCUGACGGAGCAACGCCGCGUGAGUGAUGAAGGUCUUCGGAUCGUAAAACUCUGUUAUUAGGGAAGAACAUAUGUGUAAGUAACUGUGCACAUCUUGACGGUACCUAAUCAGAAAGCCACGGCUAACUACGUG